This 2904-nucleotide ribosomal RNA is filed under the name Escherichia coli. RNAcentral describes it as "23S ribosomal RNA". It matches the Rfam family "Bacterial large subunit ribosomal RNA". The record is from RNAcentral. Lineage: Bacteria; Pseudomonadati; Pseudomonadota; Gammaproteobacteria; Enterobacterales; Enterobacteriaceae. RNAcentral also lists the same sequence under 1 other name.
GGUUAAGCGACUAAGCGUACACGGUGGAUGCCCUGGCAGUCAGAGGCGAUGAAGGACGUGCUAAUCUGCGAUAAGCGUCGGUAAGGUGAUAUGAACCGUUAUAACCGGCGAUUUCCGAAUGGGGAAACCCAGUGUGUUUCGACACACUAUCAUUAACUGAAUCCAUAGGUUAAUGAGGCGAACCGGGGGAACUGAAACAUCUAAGUACCCCGAGGAAAAGAAAUCAACCGAGAUUCCCCCAGUAGCGGCGAGCGAACGGGGAGCAGCCCAGAGCCUGAAUCAGUAUGUGUGUUAGUGGAAGCGUCUGGAAAGGCGCGCGAUACAGGGUGACAGCCCCGUACACAAAAAUGCACAUGCUGUGAGCUCGAUGAGUAGGGCGGGACACGUGGUAUCCUGUCUGAAUAUGGGGGGACCAUCCUCCAAGGCUAAAUACUCCUGACUGACCGAUAGUGAACCAGUACCGUGAGGGAAAGGCGAAAAGAACCCCGGCGAGGGGAGUGAAAAAGAACCUGAAACCGUGUACGUACAAGCAGUGGGAGCACGCUUAGGCGUGUGACUGCGUACCUUUUGUAUAAUGGGUCAGCGACUUAUAUUCUGUAGCAAGGUUAACCGAAUAGGGGAGCCGAAGGGAAACCGAGUCUUAACUGGGCGUUAAGUUGCAGGGUAUAGACCCGAAACCCGGUGAUCUAGCCAUGGGCAGGUUGAAGGUUGGGUAACACUAACUGGAGGACCGAACCGACUAAUGUUGAAAAAUUAGCGGAUGACUUGUGGCUGGGGGUGAAAGGCCAAUCAAACCGGGAGAUAGCUGGUUCUCCCCGAAAGCUAUUUAGGUAGCGCCUCGUGAAUUCAUCUCCGGGGGUAGAGCACUGUUUCGGCAAGGGGGUCAUCCCGACUUACCAACCCGAUGCAAACUGCGAAUACCGGAGAAUGUUAUCACGGGAGACACACGGCGGGUGCUAACGUCCGUCGUGAAGAGGGAAACAACCCAGACCGCCAGCUAAGGUCCCAAAGUCAUGGUUAAGUGGGAAACGAUGUGGGAAGGCCCAGACAGCCAGGAUGUUGGCUUAGAAGCAGCCAUCAUUUAAAGAAAGCGUAAUAGCUCACUGGUCGAGUCGGCCUGCGCGGAAGAUGUAACGGGGCUAAACCAUGCACCGAAGCUGCGGCAGCGACGCUGAUGCGUUGUUGGGUAGGGGAGCGUUCUGUAAGCCUGCGAAGGUGUGCUGUGAGGCAUGCUGGAGGUAUCAGAAGUGCGAAUGCUGACAUAAGUAACGAUAAAGCGGGUGAAAAGCCCGCUCGCCGGAAGACCAAGGGUUCCUGUCCAACGUUAAUCGGGGCAGGGUGAGUCGACCCCUAAGGCGAGGCCGAAAGGCGUAGUCGAUGGGAAACAGGUUAAUAUUCCUGUACUUGGUGUUACUGCGAAGGGGGGACGGAGAAGGCUAUGUUGGCCGGGCGACGGUUGUCCCGGUUUAAGCGUGUAGGCUGGUUUUCCAGGCAAAUCCGGAAAAUCAAGGCUGAGGCGUGAUGACGAGGCACUACGGUGCUGAAGCAACAAAUGCCCUGCUUCCAGGAAAAGCCUCUAAGCAUCAGGUAACAUCAAAUCGUACCCCAAACCGACACAGGUGGUCAGGUAGAGAAUACCAAGGCGCUUGAGAGAACUCGGGUGAAGGAACUAGGCAAAAUGGUGCCGUAACUUCGGGAGAAGGCACGCUGAUAUGUAGGUGAAGUCCCUCGCGGAUGGAGCUGAAAUCAGUCGAAGAUACCAGCUGGCUGCAACUGUUUAUUAAAAACACAGCACUGUGCAAACACGAAAGUGGACGUAUACGGUGUGACGCCUGCCCGGUGCCGGAAGGUUAAUUGAUGGGGUUAGCGCAAGCGAAGCUCUUGAUCGAAGCCCCGGUAAACGGCGGCCGUAACUAUAACGGUCCUAAGGUAGCGAAAUUCCUUGUCGGGUAAGUUCCGACCUGCACGAAUGGCGUAAUGAUGGCCAGGCUGUCUCCACCCGAGACUCAGUGAAAUUGAACUCGCUGUGAAGAUGCAGUGUACCCGCGGCAAGACGGAAAGACCCCGUGAACCUUUACUAUAGCUUGACACUGAACAUUGAGCCUUGAUGUGUAGGAUAGGUGGGAGGCUUUGAAGUGUGGACGCCAGUCUGCAUGGAGCCGACCUUGAAAUACCACCCUUUAAUGUUUGAUGUUCUAACGUUGACCCGUAAUCCGGGUUGCGGACAGUGUCUGGUGGGUAGUUUGACUGGGGCGGUCUCCUCCUAAAGAGUAACGGAGGAGCACGAAGGUUGGCUAAUCCUGGUCGGACAUCAGGAGGUUAGUGCAAUGGCAUAAGCCAGCUUGACUGCGAGCGUGACGGCGCGAGCAGGUGCGAAAGCAGGUCAUAGUGAUCCGGUGGUUCUGAAUGGAAGGGCCAUCGCUCAACGGAUAAAAGGUACUCCGGGGAUAACAGGCUGAUACCGCCCAAGAGUUCAUAUCGACGGCGGUGUUUGGCACCUCGAUGUCGGCUCAUCACAUCCUGGGGCUGAAGUAGGUCCCAAGGGUAUGGCUGUUCGCCAUUUAAAGUGGUACGCGAGCUGGGUUUAGAACGUCGUGAGACAGUUCGGUCCCUAUCUGCCGUGGGCGCUGGAGAACUGAGGGGGGCUGCUCCUAGUACGAGAGGACCGGAGUGGACGCAUCACUGGUGUUCGGGUUGUCAUGCCAAUGGCACUGCCCGGUAGCUAAAUGCGGAAGAGAUAAGUGCUGAAAGCAUCUAAGCACGAAACUUGCCCCGAGAUGAGUUCUCCCUGACUCCUUGAGAGUCCUGAAGGAACGUUGAAGACGACGACGUUGAUAGGCCGGGUGUGUAAGCGCAGCGAUGCGUUGAGCUAACCGGUACUAAUGAACCGUGAGGCUUAACCUU